AUUGUUCUCUAUUCUUUGGAGGUUGGAAAUCCCCAUUUCUGAAACCCUAGGUUGGUUUCUUCCAUAAGCUCGACCUCCAAUUGCCUUCCGGACCUGGGCAUAAGAGUUCCAUCACAUGAUAAUCAGAUACNAAAGUUAGUUGAAGAUCUUGGCAGGAGAUCGUUAGCUGCAUUUGAUACUCCUACAGGUUUAUGGAGUUGAUAUACAUCCAGGUAUGUUAGGUUGAUGUUUGCAUGAAAACGAGGAAUACUUUAGUAUGCUGCGAAAAUUGGAAAUGGAAUUUUAGUAGAUCAUGGGACAUGUGUUGUUAUUGGUGAAACUGAUAUAAUUGGAAACAGAGUUUCACUGAUGCAAUUUUUGGCAGGGUGUAACUUUGGGUGGCACUGGAAAGGAAACAGGUGAUCGGCAUCCCAAAGUUGUUGAAGGUGUGCUCAUUGGUGCUCAU
This is a long non-coding RNA of Vigna radiata var. radiata (mung bean), 445 nucleotides long. RefSeq lists it as uncharacterized. Lineage: Eukaryota; Viridiplantae; Streptophyta; Magnoliopsida; Fabales; Fabaceae. The record is from RefSeq and is a predicted model, not a curated record. The transcript is spliced from 5 exons.